AGCCUAUGAACCCUCACUUCCUACCCACUGUGAUUCAAAGGCUUGUGUCUGGCUGUUUGGUGGUGGUUGCAUAACUGCGGCUAACUGCCACGUGCUAACCACAUUUCCAGCAAGCUGGUUCCAGCCAGUUCCAGCUAGACCUUCUGAAGUGAAGGGUUAGCCUCCGUUCAACCCUCACACUAUGGAUUCAACAAGGUGCUGGAAACAUUCCUUCAGGAUUUUGGCCCAUGCUGACUCCAUGGCGUCAUGCAGUUCUUGCCAAUUGUUUCGGCCACACAUUUCUGCCGCAAAACUCCCACACCACCGCCUCCUGAAAGUGCUCUGUUGUAUUGAGAUCUGGGAACUGUGCAGGUCACUGGAGUAAAAUUGGAGUUGGCAAGGGUAGUCAUGAGAUACAUUUUCCGUAAGUCUUCUUAAUCCGCUGCAGCUUUAAAAAUCCAGCUACAGCCUGGAGACGAAGACUUUGGAAAUGACACACCGGCAGAGGGGGCUGCCGGUCUCGGCCCUCCCUUACUGGAGCUCAGACAGUAAGGCACAGCUGGAUCUGGGCCCAGCCGGCUGGUAGUACUAACCAAAUGGCUUUACACACUCAGAACAGCAAAGCACACCAGA
Molecule: long non-coding RNA, 612 nt
Organism: Conger conger (European conger)
Lineage: Eukaryota; Metazoa; Chordata; Actinopteri; Anguilliformes; Congridae
Exons: 3
Source: RefSeq, a predicted model, not a curated record